Molecule: long non-coding RNA, 199 nt
Filed under: Lupinus angustifolius (narrow-leaved blue lupine)
Lineage: Eukaryota; Viridiplantae; Streptophyta; Magnoliopsida; Fabales; Fabaceae
Description: long non-coding RNA (LANG_LNC003332)
Source: RNAcentral
CUCCACAAACUACCCCUAAUUUAUACAUGUUUGUUACAUUGAUUACCUCUAAUUUAUAUAUGCUUGUUACAUUGACUACCCCUCUCAUUAGUUGGUCAUUAAAUAAUAGUGUCAUAUGCAUAUCACAUGUCAUUUAAUGAAAUAUUACGAUAGAAAUAUCCUUUUAUGUUUUCAUAUAAAACAUGUUUCAAUAUAUUGC